UACGUAGGGGGCGAGCGUUGUCCGGAAUCAUUGGGCGUAAAGAGCUCGUAGGCGGUUCAGCAAGUCGGCUGUGAAAUUCCGAGGCUCAACCUCGGAACUGCAGUCGAUACUGCUGUGACUCGAGUCCGGUAGAGGAGGAUGGAAUUCCCGGUGUAGCGGUGAAAUGCGCAGAUAUCGGGAGGAACACCAGUAGCGAAGGCGGUUCUCUGGGCCGGUACUGACGCUGAGGAGCGAAAGCGUGGGGAGCAAACAGG
RNAcentral lists this ribosomal RNA (254 nucleotides) under uncultured bacterium. RNAcentral's name for it is "partial 16S ribosomal RNA". It matches the Rfam family "Bacterial small subunit ribosomal RNA", at positions 524 to 776 of the family's 1533-position model. The record is from RNAcentral.